GCAUGGGUUUGGAUUUAUGUAUGGGAGGCUUGUCUCUAGGGGCCUCUCAUAGUGUCUCAUGCCAGAGCAAACUGUAGUCCUGAGCCAUUGCCUGGCCUUGUCCGUGGGCUUCGGGCACUGAAGCGGGUUACACAGUG
Small nucleolar RNA from Echinops telfairi (small Madagascar hedgehog), 137 nucleotides. Lineage: Eukaryota; Metazoa; Chordata; Mammalia; Afrosoricida; Tenrecidae. The record is from Ensembl.